AUCACUCCAAUGGCCAUUAAAGGGUAAGGUCACCUGCCAUGACUCGCCUAAGAGAUUUUGCCAUGAUGUGGCAGGUGAGCUUACACUUGAAUGGCCAUUGGAGUGGUUCUAAAUC
Pelobates cultripes (western spadefoot toad) is the source of this 115-nucleotide non-coding RNA. The record is from the annotation of a GenBank genome assembly. NCBI's taxonomy places the organism in Eukaryota, Metazoa, Chordata, Amphibia, Anura, Pelobatidae.